RNAcentral lists this ribosomal RNA (496 nucleotides) under uncultured bacterium. RNAcentral's name for it is "partial 16S ribosomal RNA". It matches the Rfam family "Bacterial small subunit ribosomal RNA", at positions 28 to 506 of the family's 1533-position model. The record is from RNAcentral.
GAUGAACGCUGGCGGCGUGCCUAAUACAUGCAAGUCGAGCGAACAGACGAGGAGCUUGCUCCUCUGACGUUAGCGGCGGACGGGUGAGUAACACGUGGAUAACCUACCUAUAAGACUGGGAUAACUUCGGGAAACCGGAGCUAAUACCGGAUAAUAUAUUGAACCGCAUGGUUCAAUAGUGAAAGACGGUUUUGCUGUCACUUAUAGAUGGAUCCGCGCCGCAUUAGCUAGUUGGUAAGGUAACGGCUUACCAAGGCAACGAUGCGUAGCCGACCUGAGAGGGUGAUCGGCCACACUGGAACUGAGACACGGUCCAGACCCCUACGGGAGGCAGCAGGAGGGAAUCUUCCGCAAUGGGCGAAAGCUUGACGGAGCAACGCCGCGUGAGUGAUGAAGGUCUUCGGAUCGUAAAACUCUGUUAUUAGGGAAGAACAAAUGUGUAAGUAACUAUGCACGUCUUGACGGUACCUAAGCAGAAAGCCACGGCUAACUACGU